Molecule: non-coding RNA, 220 nt
Organism: Callithrix jacchus (white-tufted-ear marmoset)
Lineage: Eukaryota; Metazoa; Chordata; Mammalia; Primates; Cebidae
Source: RefSeq, a predicted model, not a curated record
AUGAAAAAUACCAGUUGGAUUAGAAAGAAUUGGAUUCUUGUAGCUGGGAUGUCUUUCAUAGGUGUCCAUCUUGGAACCUACUUUUUACAGAGGUCUGCAAAGCAGUCUGUAAAAUCUCAGUCUCAAAUCAAACAAAAGAGCAUUGAAGAAUGAAGUAAAAUAAAUACUUGGAAUUGCUAAUUUGUUAUUAAAUCAUUAUAUGCUGAUUUAGCUUCAUAAA